This 467-nucleotide ribosomal RNA is filed under the name uncultured bacterium. RNAcentral describes it as "partial 16S ribosomal RNA". It matches the Rfam family "Bacterial small subunit ribosomal RNA", at positions 28 to 507 of the family's 1533-position model. The record is from RNAcentral.
GACGAACGCUGGCGGCGUGCUUAACACAUGCAAGUCGAACGGAAAGGCCUCUUUCGGGGGGUACUCGAGUGGCGAACGGGUGAGUAACACGUGAGUAACCUGCCCUUGACUUUGGGAUAACUUCAGGAAACUGGGGCGAAUACCGGAUAGGAGCUCCUGCUGCAUGGUGGGGGGUGGAAAGUUUCGGCGGUUGGGGAUGGACUCGCGGCUUAUCAGCGUGUUGGUGGGGGAGUGGCUUACCAAGGCUUUGACGGGUAGCCGGCCUGAGAGGGUGACCGGCCACAUUGGGACUGAGAUACGGCCCAGACUCCUACGGGAGGCAGCAGUGGGGAAUAUUGCACAAUGGGUGGAAGCCUGAUGCAGCAACGCCGUGUGCGGGAUGACGGGCUUCGGGUUGUAAAACGCUUUCGCUCAUGACGAAGCUUUGUGUGACGGUAGUGGGUAAAGAAGCACCGGCUAACUACGUG